GGGGAUGUAGCUCAUUUGGCAGAGCGCGCCAUUUGCAUUGUCGAGAUAUAGGUUUCAAUUCCCUGCAUCUCCA
RNAcentral lists this transfer RNA (73 nucleotides) under Kwoniella bestiolae CBS 10118. RNAcentral describes it as "tRNA-Ala (TGC) (tRNA-Ala-TGC-2-1)". It matches the Rfam family "tRNA". Rfam says of the family: Transfer RNA (tRNA) molecules are approximately 80 nucleotides in length. The record is from RNAcentral. Lineage: Eukaryota; Fungi; Basidiomycota; Tremellomycetes; Tremellales; Cryptococcaceae.